GUUGGGUAGCAGAGAACUGAAGUCACUCACACCCAAGCAGGGUGAUCAGACACUGGUUAAAAUUUAUACAAGAUCGAGAACCGUCACAGAUAGGAAAACAUAGGUGGGUCUGGUUGGUCUGAAUAUUCGUCAUGCAUUCACUUGCACCAGAUACAUCUUCCCACCUGAUGAAAUGAUCCAGACGACUAUCAAAAUGCCAAAUGAGGCAGAAGGGAAGAAAAGUCCACAAUUUCCAGGUAUAAAUAAACUCAAAGGACUGUUUGGAAAAGUAAGUGCAUCUCCUAACUUACCAACAACACCAACAUUAAGUACAAGAGAAGCACACAAAACAUCUUCAAACCGUAUCACCGAAAGCAGAAGGAAGCCAUAUCUUCCAAU
This 378-nucleotide long non-coding RNA is filed under the name Androctonus crassicauda. The record is from RNAcentral. Lineage: Eukaryota; Metazoa; Arthropoda; Arachnida; Scorpiones; Buthidae.